RNAcentral lists this ribosomal RNA (240 nucleotides) under uncultured bacterium. RNAcentral's name for it is "partial 16S ribosomal RNA". It matches the Rfam family "Bacterial small subunit ribosomal RNA", at positions 94 to 334 of the family's 1533-position model. The record is from RNAcentral.
AGCGGCGGACGGGUGAGUAACGCGUGGGUAACCUGCCUCAUACAGGGGGAUAACAGUUGGAAACGGCUGCUAAUACCGCAUAAGCGCACAGUACCGCAUGGUACGGUGUGAAAAACUCCGGUGGUAUGAGAUGGACCCGCGUCUGAUUAGGUAGUUGGUGGGGUAACGGCCUACCAAGCCGACGAUUGGUAGCCGGACUGAGAGGUUGAACGGCCACAUUGGGACUGAGACACGGCCCAG